CUACGGGGUGCAGCAGUGAGGAAUAUUGCACAAUGGGGGGAACCCUGAUGCAGCAACGCCGCGUGGAGGAUGACGCAUUUCGGUGUGUAAACUCCUUUUAUAUGUCAAGAAAAUGACGGUAGCAUAUGAAUAAGCACCGGCUAACUCCGUGCCAGCAGCCGCGGUAAUACGGAGGGUGCAAGCGUUACUCGGAAUCACUGGGCGUAAAGGACGCGUAGGCGGGCUUGUAAGUCAGGUGUGAAAUCCUACAGCUUAACUGUAGAACUGCACUUGAAACUACGAGCCUAGAGUAUGGGAGGGGGAGAUGGAAUUAGUGGUGUAGGGGUAAAAUCCGUAGAUAUCACUAGGAAUACCUAAAGCGAAGGCGAUCUCCUGGAACAUAACUGACGCUAAGGCGUGAAAGCGUGGGGAGCAAACAGGAUUAGAUACCCUCAGUAGUC
This 440-nucleotide ribosomal RNA is filed under the name uncultured bacterium. RNAcentral describes it as "partial 16S ribosomal RNA". It matches the Rfam family "Bacterial small subunit ribosomal RNA", at positions 339 to 795 of the family's 1533-position model. The record is from RNAcentral.